GCCAGGUGUGUUGGCACACACCUGUAAUCCCAGCUACUUGGGAGGCUGAGGCAGGAGAAUCGCUUGAACCCAUGAGGCGGAGGCUGCAGUGAGCCAAAAUCACACCAUUGCACUCCAGCCUGGGUGACAGAGCGAGACUCUGUCUCAA
RNAcentral lists this non-coding RNA (148 nucleotides) under Pan troglodytes (chimpanzee). Lineage: Eukaryota; Metazoa; Chordata; Mammalia; Primates; Hominidae. The record is from Rfam by way of RNAcentral.